UUCGAAUGCUAUUUUCACCAGAU
RNAcentral lists this microRNA (23 nucleotides) under Schmidtea mediterranea. RNAcentral describes it as "sme-miR-278-5p". Its record names the gene sme-miR-278-5p. The record is from miRBase by way of RNAcentral. Lineage: Eukaryota; Metazoa; Platyhelminthes; Tricladida; Dugesiidae.